RNAcentral lists this ribosomal RNA (185 nucleotides) under uncultured bacterium. Its description in RNAcentral is "partial 16S ribosomal RNA". It matches the Rfam family "Bacterial small subunit ribosomal RNA", at positions 1309 to 1500 of the family's 1533-position model. The record is from RNAcentral.
AACCCGACUCCGUGAAGCUGGAUUCGCUAGUAAUCGCGCAUCAGCCAUGGCGCGGUGAAUACGUUCCCGGGCCUUGUACACACCGCCCGUCAAGCCAUGGGAGCCGGGGGGUGCUUGAAGUGCGUCGCCGCAAGGCGCGCCCUAGAGCAAAACCGGUGACUGGGGCUAAGUCGUAACAAGGUAUC